RNAcentral lists this ribosomal RNA (630 nucleotides) under uncultured bacterium. RNAcentral describes it as "bacterial SSU rRNA". It matches the Rfam family "Bacterial small subunit ribosomal RNA", at positions 60 to 679 of the family's 1533-position model. The record is from RNAcentral.
AGUCGAACGGUAGCACAGGGGAGCUUGCUCUCCGGGUGACGAGUGGCGGACGGGUGAGUAAUGUCUGGGGAUCUGCCCGAUGGAGGGGGAUAACUACUGGAAACGGUAGCUAAUACCGCAUAACCUCGAAAGAGCAAAGUGGGGGACCUUCGGGCCUCACACCAUCGGAUGAACCCAGAUGGGAUUAGCUAGUAGGUGGGGUAACGGCUCACCUAGGCGACGAUCCCUAGCUGGUCUGAGAGGAUGACCAGCCACACUGGAACUGAGACACGGUCCAGACUCCUACGGGAGGCAGCAGUGGGGAAUAUUGCACAAUGGGCGCAAGCCUGAUGCAGCCAUGCCGCGUGUAUGAAGAAGGCCUUCGGGUUGUAAAGUACUUUCAGCGGGGAGGAAGGGAUGAAGGUUAAUAACCUUCGUCAUUGACGUUACCCGCAGAAGAAGCACCGGCUAACUCCGUGCCAGCAGCCGCGGUAAUACGGAGGGUGCAAGCGUUAAUCGGAAUUACUGGGCGUAAAGCGCACGCAGGCGGUUUGUUAAGUCAGAUGUGAAAUCCCCGGGCUCAACCUGGGAACUGCAUUUGAAACUGGCAAGCUUGAGUCUCGUAGAGGGGGGUAGAAUUCCAGGUGUAGC